Small nucleolar RNA from Otolemur garnettii (small-eared galago), 75 nucleotides. NCBI's taxonomy places the organism in Eukaryota, Metazoa, Chordata, Mammalia, Primates, Galagidae. The record is from Ensembl.
UAGACCAAUGAUGCGAAUUGCAGGCGUAUGAGUAUUGGAUGAUGAAUAAUACGUGUCUGGAACUCUGAGGUUCAA